RNAcentral lists this transfer RNA (100 nucleotides) under Hypoxylon sp. FL0543. RNAcentral describes it as "tRNA-Val". It matches the Rfam family "tRNA". From Rfam's summary of the family: Transfer RNA (tRNA) molecules are approximately 80 nucleotides in length. Their secondary structure includes four short double-helical elements and three loops (D, anti-codon, and T loops). Further hydrogen bonds mediate the characteristic L-shaped molecular structure. tRNAs have two regions of fundamental functional importance: the anti-codon, which is responsible for specific mRNA codon recognition, and the 3' end, to which the tRNAs corresponding amino acid is attached (by aminoacyl-tRNA synthetases). tRNAs cope with the degeneracy of the genetic code in two manners: having more than one tRNA (with a specific anti-codon) for a particular amino acid; and 'wobble' base-pairing, i.e. permitting non-standard base-pairing at the 3rd anti-codon position. Lineage: Eukaryota; Fungi; Ascomycota; Sordariomycetes; Xylariales; Hypoxylaceae. The record is from RNAcentral.
GGUCGACUGGCGUAGUGGUUAUCGCGUCUGUCUUACAUCUACGCUGUAUAGUGUAUUGUAAGGACACAGAAGGUCGCAGGUUCGAUCCCUGCGUCGAUCA